GUGACACACAGAAGGAUAUUUCAGAGGAGAGUGAAUGCAUGCAAACAUAAGUCUGAAGAUGGAGAAAUCAACCAGUGUAUUGAUCAUUCUUAUUAUGACUACAGGAAUGGUAUCUGGAGAUAGUGUGACUCCUGACAAGGAGGAAUAUACCCCCACUGAGGGAUCAUCAGUGUCUCUGAGAUGUACAUAUGAAACAAGCAGCAAUUAUAUUUCCCUUUACUGGUACAGGCAUUAUCCAAACCAGGCUCCUCAGUUUCUACUGUAUAAAGGUGCCAGAUCAAGGAGCAUUGAACACAUCCCUGAUAAGAGAUAUAAAUCCACAACAUCCCGGGAAUCAACUGAACUGGUGAUAACAAGCCUAACCCUGGCAGACACAGCUCUCUACUACUGUGCUCUUGACACGGGUGCAGAAGAGAAUGUAGCACAGUCAACAGAAGAGGGAGCUGCCAGAGCCGCCCGUCAGUCAGGAGCUGCCAGAUCCGCCCUUCACUCCGGCGCUAGUGCACAGGAGACCAUGUUCAACAGCAACCAGGAGGUGUGA
This is a non-coding RNA of Oncorhynchus kisutch (coho salmon), 541 nucleotides long. Lineage: Eukaryota; Metazoa; Chordata; Actinopteri; Salmoniformes; Salmonidae. The record is from the annotation of a RefSeq genome assembly.